GUGCCAGCCGCCGCGGUAAUUCCAGCUCCAAUAGCGUAUAUUAAAGUUGUUGUGGUUAAAAAGCUCGUAGUUGAACCUUGGGCCUGGCUGGCCGGUCCGCCUCACCGCGUGCACUGGUCCGGCCGGGCCUUUCCCUCUGUGGAACCCCAUACCCUUCACUGGGCGUGACGGGGAAACAGGACAUUUACUUUGAAAAAAUUAGAGUGCUCCAGGCAGGCCUAUGCUCGAAUACAUUAGCAUGGAAUAAUAAAAUAGGACGCGCGGUUCUAUUUUGUUGGUUUAUAGGACCGCCGUAAUGAUUAAUAGGGACAGUCGGGGGCAUCAGUAUUCAACUGUCAGAGGUGAAAUUCUUGGAUCAGUUGAAGACUAACUACUGCGAAAGCAUUUGCCAAGGAUGUUUUCAUUAAUCAGGAACGAAAGUUAGGGGAUCGAAGACGAUCAGAUACCGUCGUAGUCUUAACCAUAAACUAUGCCGACUAGGGAUCGGACGGUGUUAUUCAUGACCCGUUCGGCACCUUACGAGAAAUCAAAGUGCUUGGGCUCCAGGGGGAGUAUGGUCGCAAGGCUGAAACUUAAAGAAAUUGACGGAAGGGCACCACCAGGGGUGGAGCCUGCGGCUUAAUUUGACUCAACACGGGGAAACUCACCAGGUCCAGACACAAUAAGGAUUGACAGAUUGAGAGCUCUUUCUUGAUUUUGUGGGUGGUGGUGCAUGGCCGUUCUUAGUUGGUGGGGUGACUUGUCUGCUUAAUUGCGAUAACGAACGAGACCUUAACCUGCUAAAUAGCCCGCAUUGCUCCGGCAGUGCGCUGGCUUCUUAGAAGGGACUUU
RNAcentral lists this ribosomal RNA (831 nucleotides) under uncultured fungus. RNAcentral's name for it is "SSU rRNA". It matches the Rfam family "Eukaryotic small subunit ribosomal RNA", at positions 564 to 1423 of the family's 1831-position model. The record is from RNAcentral. Lineage: Eukaryota; Fungi.